CCACCCCCCUUUUGCUUCCUCUGCCUUUCUAAUUCUCAAUCUGCUUAACCAGGCUUUAGAGGCCAAGCAAAUCUGAGAUCAAUUUUCUCGUUUAGCUCUAAGUGACAUCAUCUAAAAUCAUUGUGCAAGGGCUAAAUAAGGAAACGGAGUCUAAUUCAGGGGCAAACGCCAGGCUAUAUUUAUCAAACGCCAAGCUCCAGAAAGCCUCGGCUAGGAAGCCUCGGCAGUGAAAUCCGAGGGCUCGGGGUUGCCCGCUCCCGGAAUCCCGGAGUCUCCGCGGCCCGAACCGAGUCUGGACCAUUUAGAAGACGCCGGCAGGUAACUGGCCUCCCCAAACGCCCCGAAAAUUAAAAGCCUUAGGAGGCUUGUUCUGUGUUUGUGGUUUUGUAAAGGCAAUGCCCGCGGCAAUAGGCCUGGGAAAGUCGCACUUUCAUCCACAAAGUUGAGGAGUUGCAAGGAAUAAUUGGGUGUCACACCACAAGCAACCUUGACUCGAUCGGACCCCACCCAGGAUACACACAGACGCGCGCGCGCGCACGCUUCCGAGUUUCCAUUGAGAGUCUGGAAAGAGCAUUUCUUUCUUAAGUACCUGCGCUCAGCUAGAGCUCUCCCGGAGCAUUUUAAAUACUGAAUGCCGAGCGGAGAAGGGAAACAGAGUGUAUUAAUCCCCACUCCGGUUGCCGGUGUCUGCAAGCCUCCUCUAAGCAGCGCAGGCGGCAGCCUGGAUGUCUGUGCGCAUCAAGGAGACUUGCCGGCGCCAGAGUUGUGUCCACAGGUGCACUUGUGCCUCCCAAAGAGCGCGCGUAGAGACCAUUUCCCCUGCAACGCCCCCCAGCCGAACACCCGCCGGGUGUGGCACCUCGGCCGAAACUCCUGGGGCGGCGCGGUGGAGCGUGUGGAGGUUUCCGGGAAGACGCCUACGGCUGCGGCUCCGACUGUGCGGGCUCCCGCCGCCCAGGCAAGAGCGUCCAGGAGCGCGCUGGAAGCUGCGGCGCGCACCUUCCCCGGCGCAGUCUCUUGCCAGCCGGCGAUCACGCAGAGCUGAACCCCGCAGCUAGGCGCGCAGGAAGGGCUGCACAGAGUUUGAAGACACGGCAGCUGUAAGCUGGCGUGAGGAGGCCAAAGGAGCGCGCAGAGCUGCAAGCAAAGGGCGGUGGGGCCUGGACCCUGAAGUGAGUGGCCGACCGCAGCAGCUCAAGGUGCCAUCUGCCUGGCAAGCUACCCGGGUCCCUCCGCCCCACUCUAACUUUCCGCGAAAAUCAGUUCCGCCUCUGCCCCAAGAGCCAAGAGGGGUGGAAAGGAAGAGAGCUUGGGCUGGGAACGCGCCUGAUGUCUAACAGAAAGGCAGUGGCAGCUGGAGCACCUGGGCAGAGCAAGCGGAGAGGCGCCACAUCCCCGAGAGGCGCUUCGUAGUUGUCCUUGGACCGGGCGCAGACACUCAGUAUUGGUCAGCGCUGGAAAUUUUCUUUCCUUUUGCUGUUGGGGCCGCAGAACCAGUCUCCUCCUUUCCCCUGCUCAGACAAAGGGCACGGGAAGGGCUUUGCUGGGGCAAAGGGGGGUGGGGGGUUCUCUGUCCCACGACAGAUGGGUCGCGGUUAAGACUUUAAUUGCUGACUUUUGGGCCGGAUCAGAUUCCUUUUCCUACCUGCCACUUCCCAGCAGCGAAAAAUCCCCCUCCUGCUGCACUCCUCCGCCACCGGGCUAGGUUGAAAGGAAAAAGCCAAGAAGCGCGAAGCAGCCCGGCUCUGGAAGGCUUUGGAGAGUCCAGCUGACUUGUACACAAUUCGCGGCCUCUGGAGCCUUACCUGCCUUCUUGACUGAAUGCCACCAGUUCGUUUUACGCUUGUGGUGUGUCCCUCACUCUCCCCUUCCUCUCCUCCCCCUCCCCUCUCCUUAACUGCAAAAGAGCCUUUCUUUGACCUCUGUAAAUUUCUCCUUUGGUGUAUACCAAACUAAAAAGGAAAAAAUAUUGGCUAAGAGGUAUGCAUGCUUUGUAUAGUUUAUAUUUCAACAGUUUGCUUUUCACUAGUCUUUUCAGGAUUUGCCCUUUUGGCAAGUGUUUGAAAAUGUCAUUUGAGUUAACACAAAUAUGGCAAAGCAUCAAUUAUGCUCUUCCUUUAAGAUGGCCUUGAGUUUACUAAAGACUGAAAAGGUGCUUUACAACUCCAGGCCUUGAUAUCCAACAUUUGUUAAUUUUUUCAAAACCUAACCAAAAACACAUGUUAAUUAGUAAUACUAUCUCUAUUAAAUAAGAAUUGUCACAAAACACAAAAUAUAUUUAGAAAGGGCUUCUAUCUUACCGUCCAAUCUGUCUAGUACUUUAUUUCCAAAUAUAUUUGAAAAUAACAAAAAAGGCAAUAAAAACAGAGUAUAUUCAGCAAAUUCAGAAGCUUUCAAAACGUUUCAAUGCAAGUAUUUUUUAGUUAUUAAAACAAAUGCAAGGGAGCCUUGUUUGUUUUGUUAAUGGCAAAAUAGAAACUCUUACAGUUUCUUUGGAUUUUCUUUGAGAAUCCUAUAAUCCUAUUUUUUUGCUGAGAGCUGAUGAUUAAGUGUGCCUCCCCUUUCCAUCCAUGGAAAGGCAGUAUUUAUAACCUCAAAUCCUGAUGGAAGGCGAGUUUCAGUGUAUGAUUUAUCCUUUAUGAAAUAUCCUGAGGAAACCACAGCAGUUCAUGAUAUAAAGAGGCCAGAUAACAAACUCUGUGUUAAGAUCUAUUUAAAAAAUAAGAAAAAGUCCUGCUUUUCUAAAGUAAUUUAAAAUUCUCUUUUUCUAAGGAAUCUGAUUUUGACUUCAAUACUUUCUAAGCUGUGUUCUUGCUAUUACUAAAAAAUAUUCAUGAUUUCCACAGGCUUUUUGUUGAAGUCCCUAUCAUAAGCAAAUGCAGUUUCUGGCUAUGGUUACUGCAAUUCGAAAUAAAAGGUAAUAAGAUAAUAGAGCCAUACAUUACCAAAUAAGCCAUAAUCUCUAAUCUCUUAUUCCUUGAUAUGUCACAAAAUACUAUUGAUUUUUUUAAAUUAAAAAUGGAUUGGAAAAUAUUAUAA
RNAcentral lists this long non-coding RNA (3039 nucleotides) under Homo sapiens (human). RNAcentral describes it as "FEZF1 antisense RNA 1". The record is from RNAcentral. Lineage: Eukaryota; Metazoa; Chordata; Mammalia; Primates; Hominidae.